Molecule: ribosomal RNA, 198 nt
Filed under: uncultured bacterium
Lineage: Bacteria
Description: partial 16S ribosomal RNA
Rfam family: Bacterial small subunit ribosomal RNA
Source: RNAcentral
ACGCUCGACACCUACGGAGGCAGCAGUGGGGAAUAUUGCACAAUGGGGGAAACCCUGAUGCAGCGACGCCGCGUGGAGGAAGAAGGUCUUCGGAUUGUAAACUCCUGUUGUUGGGGAAAAAGAGGAUGGUACCCAACAAGGAAGUGACGGCUAACUACGUGCAGCAGCCGCGGUAAUCUGAGGCGGGCGUGGCAAGGC